Gadus morhua (Atlantic cod) is the source of this 613-nucleotide long non-coding RNA. RefSeq lists it as uncharacterized. The transcript has 3 exons. The record is from RefSeq and is a predicted model, not a curated record. NCBI's taxonomy places the organism in Eukaryota, Metazoa, Chordata, Actinopteri, Gadiformes, Gadidae.
GUCCGCAGUAGGGGAGACGGAGCGCGAUGCGAUUGCAAUAAAAAAAAAAUGGGCGGACGUAAAAUCCCUCGUAAAGAAAAAAGCUGCUGAGAGGACGAGGGAGACGAGGAAGACAGGAGGAGGGACGUCCUCUGUUAAACUCGACCCUUUGGAGGAGAAGAUUUUGGGGAUGAUAGGGGAAUCUCUGGUAGGAGGCGUUCAAGGAGGGGUGGACACUGGAGACCACAGCUGUAUGCAGCUGCUACAGCAGACACAAACGGAUGCUAUGGUGGACCUUGAUUUGAUGACUGAAGACAUUGUCCCCCCCCACAUUGAACUUGAAGUUCAACAAAAUAAUUCUGAAGAAGAUCUUAGUCUCUCACAACUAAUUUCAGAAUCCAUCCUCCAGCCCACACCAGUGAUGACACCCAGCAUGGAGGACAUGAUCUGUAUUCAAAGAGACCUUUUGGAGGAAGUGCGAGGACUUAGAAGGGUUCAAGAGCAACUUCUACUGGUGGAGAGAGAGAAACUGCUCUUGGCCAAAGCCAAAUUUGAGCUAAAAAAAAAGGAAUAUUAGGAAGAAUGUAUUAGUAUUAGUAAUAAUAUAUUAGAGUAUUAUAGAGUAUAUUAGAGU